Molecule: ribosomal RNA, 427 nt
Filed under: uncultured bacterium
Lineage: Bacteria
Description: partial 16S ribosomal RNA
Rfam family: Bacterial small subunit ribosomal RNA
Source: RNAcentral
UGGGGAAUAUUGGACAAUGGGCGAAAGCCUGAUCCAGCCAUGCCGCGUGUGUGAAGAAGGUCUUCGGAUUGUAAAGCACUUUAAGUUGGGAGGAAGGGCAUUAACCUAAUACGUUAGUGUUUUGACGUUACCGACAGAAUAAGCACCGGCUAACUCUGUGCCAGCAGCCGCGGUAAUACAGAGGGUGCAAGCGUUAAUCGGAAUUACUGGGCGUAAAGCGCGCGUAGGUGGUUUGUUAAGUUGGAUGUGAAAUGCCCGUGCUCAACCUGGGAACUGCAUUCAAAACUGACUGACUAGAGUAUGGUAGAGGGUGGUGGAAUUUCCUGUGUAGCGGUGAAAUGCGUAGAUAUAGGAAGGAACACCAGUGGCGAAGGCGACCACCUGGACUAAUACUGACACUGAGGUGCGAAAGCGUGGGGAGCAAACA